AUUGAACGCUGGCGGCAGGCCUAACACAUGCAAGUCGAGCGGAUGACGGGAGCUUGCUCCUUGAUUCAGCGGCGGACGGGUGAGUAAUGCCUAGGAAUCUGCCUGGUAGUGGGGGACAACGUUUCGAAAGGAACGCUAAUACCGCAUACGUCCUACGGGAGAAAGCAGGGGACCUUCGGGCCUUGCGCUAUCAGAUGAGCCUAGGUCGGAUUAGCUAGUUGGUGAGGUACUGGCUCACCAAGGGGACGAUCCGUAACUGGUCUGAGAGGAUGAUCAGUCACACUGGAACUGAGACACGGUCCAGACUCCUACGGGAGGCAGCAGUGGGGAAUAUUGGACAAUGGGCGAAAGCCUGAUCCAGCCAUGCCGCGUGUGUGAAGAAGGUCUUCGGAUUGUAAAGCACUUUAAGUUGGGAGGAAGGGCAGUAAGCUAAUACCUUGCUGUUUUGACGUUACCGACAGAAUAAGCACCGGCUAACUUCGUGCCAGCCGCCGCCGUAA
RNAcentral lists this ribosomal RNA (500 nucleotides) under uncultured bacterium. RNAcentral describes it as "partial 16S ribosomal RNA". It matches the Rfam family "Bacterial small subunit ribosomal RNA", at positions 30 to 523 of the family's 1533-position model. The record is from RNAcentral.